GACUGUUUAAUUAAAACAAA
RNAcentral lists this small nuclear RNA (20 nucleotides) under Arabidopsis thaliana (thale cress). RNAcentral describes it as "snRNA_00261". Lineage: Eukaryota; Viridiplantae; Streptophyta; Magnoliopsida; Brassicales; Brassicaceae. The record is from RNAcentral.